This is a long non-coding RNA of Musa acuminata AAA Group (dessert banana), 3918 nucleotides long. RefSeq lists it as uncharacterized. The transcript is spliced from 4 exons. NCBI's taxonomy places the organism in Eukaryota, Viridiplantae, Streptophyta, Magnoliopsida, Zingiberales, Musaceae. The record is from RefSeq and is a predicted model, not a curated record.
CGUACGGACCGCCGUGCCCUCGCUACUGCGGCGGCGGGAUGGGAAAAAGCUGGUUCCUAUGGCGGGGAUGGGAAAGGGCUGCUUCGAUGAUAUCGACGCAGGAGUGGAUCCUCCCCCCAGCUGUUGCCCGUCUCCGCCCUCCGUCUUCUCUUUGCCUGCGACCCAAGAAGAAGAGAGGAAACCCUAAAAAAAGCGGUCUCCGAUCCCCAUCUUCUCUUCGCCUGCGACCCAAGAAGAAGAGUGGAAACCCUAAAAAAAGGGCGGUUUUACCUUCUCCUCCUCCUCCUCUCUUCUUUCUCCUGCACGUCGCCGCUGCUCUCAUUAAGCAUCUUCUGAUCCGAGGAAUUAAUUUAAGAUUGACAGUUUCUUUGAGGGAGGUCGGAAACACUGGGUUGGAACCUGAAAGCACUUGCAUGACAGAUGGAAGAUGAAGUCACAAGAACAGCCACAAUGGCUUUUCCCCAUGCGACCUACCGCAAUAGCUUCAAUUGCUUGGGCUGUGUGAAUGACUUGUCAACUCCCAACCUUGAUCAGGCUUCCAUUUGAAACAGGAUAGCCUCUUUUCAUGCCAUUGUAAUCUGCUCAACCUGGUGGAGACUUCAACCUUGUUGCAUGCUGCUGGCUGCAGUAUCAGAGAGUCAGAACGACAUUGAUCACCAGGAACUCCAUUUGCAUAUAUCUACACCUCAGGCAGGGAACAUAUGAAAAGAUUUGUGUACUUCAUAAAGGCUUUAUAUCGGCACGUAUGAAGCACAGCAGCAGUGUUUCUGCAAACCCUCAACACUCCAGAAUCAUUAUUUUGCUCACUCAGAAGCAAUCAUGAUCUGGAACGGGCUUUGUGGUUUUCAUAAUGGGCUGAUACAUGGAGAGAUCUGAUAGAUUAACAAGCUUAUUUAACUUGAUCUUGGAUUCAGUUUGUAAGGGGCAGUUCCUCCUGAAUCAGCUCCAACAGAACUGGAACAUCUGCAGUUUGAUUCAGAAAAGGUCAACAAGUACCACACUACUAGGUUAAUGCAUGAGCGGUAGCUGUAUUCUGCAUCUUGUUCAGUCACUUCUGAGAUCAUGCGAGUCGUAGUAAUUAUGAUUACAAAGAUUGAUUUGCCAACAUCGGCAAAUUGAUGAUUGGGAAAGACCAUAAGAGGUAUCAGAAAUGGGUUUUUAUCAGACCCAGCGGGUGUGGAUUCUAGGGAAGAAUCCAUCAGCCCAUGUGUGCCACUGAAGUAUAACAUCUCUUCUCAUUAACCACAAACUUUUAUCCAUAACAAAAGGUAAAAGAUUCGAUUCUGAUCUUUUGGAGCUGACAAUGAUCUGUGAUAUGGGGCAUGGUAGUGACUACUGAGCUUUAAUGGACAAUUGGAGCAUCAGCCGUGGAUCAUAUGGCAUCACUUGUGGCUGACAGUUCUCUUGGAGAUCACUUGGCACAACCCCUUCAACAAGAGGAAUCAUUCAGCAUUAUCCACAGUCCAAACGAUCAAUUCUAUGCAAAGGUUCUGGGCUAAGACAAGAUAAGAUAGAACAAGAAAGCAUUAAUGUUGCAUGAGAUAGCAAUGCACAAAGAAUUGUAAUGAUCUCCCAAGCACUAGUAUUCUUUUCCUUGUUGGUCGAAGAUGAUGUGAAAUUUGAUCCUCAGAGUUGUCAGCUCAGCAUACAAAUGAUCAAUCAAUGCUCUAAGUAUGUUGCAUGAUUGUCGAAUCGUAGAAGACACUGCCAAAUUCCUUGGGCCAGCGAAGAACAUAACACAUCAAAGAGCACUAGCUUUUUUUCCUGCUCUCUUGCAGCAACUUAAGCACUGAUCAAAAGGCAGGACCACAAGUUUAAGCCACCAUGGAACUUAGUCAUGUAGUAGAGUAAGGGGAAAGAUGGAUGAUACUUUGGCUUUUGUUAAAGAGCAUACCGAGAAUAUUGCUGAUGAAAAUAUUCCAAUUUUAUCUUUGGUUUUAAAGGGAGAAAAACCAAAGACGCGUAAGGAAUACAUGGCUGGCAUUGCCAGUCUAUGCAAAUCAACCAAUCCUUCUCAAUUGAUGCAUAUUUUUCCACUGUCAAUUUGAACAUCAGCACGGAUAUGCAUGAUCAGUGCCCUAUUAGGCUUGAAUGUGUGAAACAGAGAAAAAAUGUGGUUUUCGGAGGUCAAAGUGGAUCAAUUCUAUGAACUCAAUUCCAUAAAGUUAGCUGCAGAUAAUUCAAAGAAAGAAAGAAAGCGACUUGAUGGCUUACAAACCUCUUUAGGUACAUAUGCUUAUCUCUCUCUUUGUUUGAAGUGUUCAAACUCACACUUAUCCGUAGGAAUCUGACCAAGAAGCUAGCUCACUGAUCAUCUAUCUUUGCUAGAUAACUUGGAUUUAGAAAUGAGUGGAAGAAUCAGCAUCCAGUUGACUUGUGCAUCAAGAGGCAGGGUCUUGUGGAUGUCGUUGCGAUCACAUUUUUAUAUCAUUCUAAACUAUUUGUCAAAACUAGUUCAACCCAAUAAUAUCAUUCAAAGCUACAUAUUAUAGUUCCUUUUUUUGUGCAUGACUAACGUCUUAUGAGACCUUCUUGAGCACUUACCAGGUGAGUUCCUGCCGACAGAUGGGUGCAUGAUUGCAGAACAAAUUGAUCCUUAUCUCUCCAUACAUGGGAUUGCCAAGGAGCCUAACAAGUUCUUGGAGAGAAGCUGGUUUGAUUUGCCAGAGUCAUGUGAUUAUUCUGGGUUAAUUCUUCAACUAUCUACAUCAAAGUACCUAUCAACAACCUAAGUUUGCACUCUGGUCAGAGACGAAAAGUGUCAUCUAAAGUGGAACAGUAUCUGAACACACCCACAGCUCACUGCCUGCGCACUCCAUAGUUCAACUCUCCCAUAGAGAGCUACCAGAUCUUUCCAAUCUUAAACCUAGUAAAUGUUUUAGUGAUGCGAAGGAGAUGCACACUUGACAUUAUUGAGGUCCACUCAUUGAGGCAUGAAUAGCCACAUCCACUAAGGUAGUGAAGUACACCAUGAGGGAUAUGGAAUGAGACAUCUCCAAUAAAGGCAGAGGGGCGAAACUUGAGAUCUUUCUGUCAGCUUUUCCAGCAAUCUGAUGUCAUUCCACCACCAGGCUCAAGUUGCUGAAGGAUUUCCCGCUAGUCAAUCUGGAAAAUAUUAACUGAUCUGAAUUUGGGCAUAGCAGAACAAACAUUGUUGUUCUUACAGCUGAUUAUCAUCUAGAAUUCUUUUCUUUCUUUCAGUGGAUGCCAAGUCUGUUCAGUUUAACAUGAUUGGUCAUAGUGUUAGCUUUGCAUCAUUCUCACAUUGUUUUAGCUCAACCAGUAGGGACAGCAAGAGAUCAUCCAACCAAAGAUAUGACCUUUAUAAAGCAGAUGCUCUGAAUAUUGGAAUGAGUAGAAUUGCAUCACAUGUAGGAAGGCAACAUAACCAGUUUCCAUGAUACAGAAUCCAUGAGACAUCAUGUCAGAUGGACAAUGUCCUAAAGGCACUGGACUGUCCAAGGCACAGGAGAAAGUGAUACCAUAAUGGAUUGGCUAGCUGAGAAAAGGAAUAUUAACCAUCUUGGGCAUAGCCAUGUCAAGUACAAAGGAGUGUGGAAAUGUGUCAACUUGCAUAUUGAUUGAGAUGAUGAAUUUGUUUACCUUGUCAUGCAAGUUGGGCAACUGAACAGCCAUGUUUCUUCAAGCUUUACACCAAAUGGUGGAUGGAUCAAUCUAAGACAGACACAACAUGUGAAUCCAAGUUUACCACAAUGCAUGAGCAAGCAAAUAAUGAAAAGAGUUGCUUUAGAUGGAGAUCAAUCAAAUGUAACAUCGAGCCAUUUCCUGACAGCAAAGUUCUUUGAGACUAAUGAUUACCAGGCCACCAAUUAAUCAUGAAACCAGAUCACCAACUGCUAUGUUCAUAAACAGCUUUGCAAAAGAUAAAUGCAGAGACAGAAAUCAUGUUGCAUCUUC